CCUACGGGAGGCAGCAGUGGGGAAUCUUGCGCAAUGGGCGAAAGCCUGACGCAGCAACGCCGCGUGCGGGAAGAAGGCUCUCGGGUUGUAAACCGCUUUCAGCAGGAACGAAAAUGACGGUACUUGCAGAAGAAGGUGCGGCCAACUACGUGCCAGCAGCCGCGGUGACACGUAGGCACCAAGCGUUGUCCGGAUUUAUUGGGCGUAAAGAGCUCGUAGGCGGUUCGGUAAGUCAGGUGUGAAAACUUUGGGCUCAACCCAAAGCCUGCAUCUGAUACUGCUGUGACUAGAGUUCGGUAGGGGAGCGGGGAAUUCCUAGUGUAGCGGUGAAAUGCGCAGAUAUUAGGAGGAACACCGGUGGCGAAGGCGCCGCUCUGGGCCGAAACUGACGCUGAGGAGCGAAAGCGUGGGUAGCAAACAGGAUUAGAUACCCUGGUAGUCCACGCCGUAAACGUUGGGCACUAGGUGUGGGUUUCAACCAACGAAAUCCGCGCCGUCGCUAACGCAUUAAGUGCCCCGCCUGGGGAGUACGGCCGCAAGGUUAAAACCNCAAAGAAUUGACGGCNGAGACGNGCGACGCGACACGAGGGAGAG
This 594-nucleotide ribosomal RNA is filed under the name uncultured bacterium. RNAcentral's name for it is "bacterial SSU rRNA". It matches the Rfam family "Bacterial small subunit ribosomal RNA", at positions 338 to 949 of the family's 1533-position model. The record is from RNAcentral.